Molecule: ribosomal RNA, 2904 nt
Filed under: Escherichia coli
Lineage: Bacteria; Pseudomonadati; Pseudomonadota; Gammaproteobacteria; Enterobacterales; Enterobacteriaceae
Description: 23S ribosomal RNA
Rfam family: Bacterial large subunit ribosomal RNA
Source: RNAcentral
GGUUAAGCGACUAAGCGUACACGGUGGAUGCCCUGGCAGUCAGAGGCGAUGAAGGACGUGCUAAUCUGCGAUAAGCGUCGGUAAGGUGAUAUGAACCGUUAUAACCGGCGAUUUCCGAAUGGGGAAACCCAGUGUGUUUCGACACACUAUCAUUAACUGAAUCCAUAGGUUAAUGAGGCGAACCGGGGGAACUGAAACAUCUAAGUACCCCGAGGAAAAGAAAUCAACCGAGAUUCCCCCAGUAGCGGCGAGCGAACGGGGAGCAGCCCAGAGCCUGAAUCAGUGUGUGUGUUAGUGGAAGCGUCUGGAAAGGCGCGCGAUACAGGGUGACAGCCCCGUACACAAAAAUGCACAUAUUGUGAGCUCGAUGAGUAGGGCGGGACACGUGGUAUCCUGUCUGAAUAUGGGGGGACCAUCCUCCAAGGCUAAAUACUCCUGACUGACCGAUAGUGAACCAGUACCGUGAGGGAAAGGCGAAAAGAACCCCGGCGAGGGGAGUGAAAAAGAACCUGAAACCGUGUACGUACAAGCAGUGGGAGCACGCUUAGGCGUGUGACUGCGUACCUUUUGUAUAAUGGGUCAGCGACUUAUAUUCUGUAGCAAGGUUAACCGAAUAGGGGAGCCGAAGGGAAACCGAGUCUUAACUGGGCGUUAAGUUGCAGGGUAUAGACCCGAAACCCGGUGAUCUAGCCAUGGGCAGGUUGAAGGUUGGGUAACACUAACUGGAGGACCGAACCGACUAAUGUUGAAAAAUUAGCGGAUGACUUGUGGCUGGGGGUGAAAGGCCAAUCAAACCGGGAGAUAGCUGGUUCUCCCCGAAAGCUAUUUAGGUAGCGCCUCGUGAAUUCAUCUCCGGGGGUAGAGCACUGUUUCGGCAAGGGGGUCAUCCCGACUUACCAACCCGAUGCAAACUGCGAAUACCGGAGAAUGUUAUCACGGGAGACACACGGCGGGUGCUAACGUCCGUCGUGAAGAGGGAAACAACCCAGACCGCCAGCUAAGGUCCCAAAGUCAUGGUUAAGUGGGAAACGAUGUGGGAAGGCCCAGACAGCCAGGAUGUUGGCUUAGAAGCAGCCAUCAUUUAAAGAAAGCGUAAUAGCUCACUGGUCGAGUCGGCCUGCGCGGAAGAUGUAACGGGGCUAAACCAUGCACCGAAGCUGCGGCAGCGACGCUUAUGCGUUGUUGGGUAGGGGAGCGUUCUGUAAGCCUGCGAAGGUGUGCUGUGAGGCAUGCUGGAGGUAUCAGAAGUGCGAAUGCUGACAUAAGUAACGAUAAAGCGGGUGAAAAGCCCGCUCGCCGGAAGACCAAGGGUUCCUGUCCAACGUUAAUCGGGGCAGGGUGAGUCGACCCCUAAGGCGAGGCCGAAAGGCGUAGUCGAUGGGAAACAGGUUAAUAUUCCUGUACUUGGUGUUACUGCGAAGGGGGGACGGAGAAGGCUAUGUUGGCCGGGCGACGGUUGUCCCGGUUUAAGCGUGUAGGCUGGUUUUCCAGGCAAAUCCGGAAAAUCAAGGCUGAGGCGUGAUGACGAGGCACUACGGUGCUGAAGCAACAAAUGCCCUGCUUCCAGGAAAAGCCUCUAAGCAUCAGGUAACAUCAAAUCGUACCCCAAACCGACACAGGUGGUCAGGUAGAGAAUACCAAGGCGCUUGAGAGAACUCGGGUGAAGGAACUAGGCAAAAUGGUGCCGUAACUUCGGGAGAAGGCACGCUGAUAUGUAGGUGAAGUCCCUCGCGGAUGGAGCUGAAAUCAGUCGAAGAUACCAGCUGGCUGCAACUGUUUAUUAAAAACACAGCACUGUGCAAACACGAAAGUGGACGUAUACGGUGUGACGCCUGCCCGGUGCCGGAAGGUUAAUUGAUGGGGUCAGCGCAAGCGAAGCUCUUGAUCGAAGCCCCGGUAAACGGCGGCCGUAACUAUAACGGUCCUAAGGUAGCGAAAUUCCUUGUCGGGUAAGUUCCGACCUGCACGAAUGGCGUAAUGAUGGCCAGGCUGUCUCCACCCGAGACUCAGUGAAAUUGAACUCGCUGUGAAGAUGCAGUGUACCCGCGGCAAGACGGAAAGACCCCGUGAACCUUUACUAUAGCUUGACACUGAACAUUGAGCCUUGAUGUGUAGGAUAGGUGGGAGGCUUUGAAGUGUGGACGCCAGUCUGCAUGGAGCCGACCUUGAAAUACCACCCUUUAAUGUUUGAUGUUCUAACGUUGACCCGUAAUCCGGGUUGCGGACAGUGUCUGGUGGGUAGUUUGACUGGGGCGGUCUCCUCCUAAAGAGUAACGGAGGAGCACGAAGGUUGGCUAAUCCUGGUCGGACAUCAGGAGGUUAGUGCAAUGGCAUAAGCCAGCUUGACUGCGAGCGUGACGGCGCGAGCAGGUGCGAAAGCAGGUCAUAGUGAUCCGGUGGUUCUGAAUGGAAGGGCCAUCGCUCAACGGAUAAAAGGUACUCCGGGGAUAACAGGCUGAUACCGCCCAAGAGUUCAUAUCGACGGCGGUGUUUGGCACCUCGAUGUCGGCUCAUCACAUCCUGGGGCUGAAGUAGGUCCCAAGGGUAUGGCUGUUCGCCAUUUAAAGUGGUACGCGAGCUGGGUUUAGAACGUCGUGAGACAGUUCGGUCCCUAUCUGCCGUGGGCGCUGGAGAACUGAGGGGGGCUGCUCCUAGUACGAGAGGACCGGAGUGGACGCAUCACUGGUGUUCGGGUUGUCAUGCCAAUGGCACUGCCCGGUAGCUAAAUGCGGAAGAGAUAAGUGCUGAAAGCAUCUAAGCACGAAACUUGCCCCGAGAUGAGUUCUCCCUGACUCCUUGAGAGUCCUGAAGGAACGUUGAAGACGACGACGUUGAUAGGCCGGGUGUGUAAGCGCAGCGAUGCGUUGAGCUAACCGGUACUAAUGAACCGUGAGGCUUAACCUU